RNAcentral lists this ribosomal RNA (1441 nucleotides) under metagenome. RNAcentral describes it as "bacterial LSU rRNA". It matches the Rfam family "Bacterial large subunit ribosomal RNA", at positions 1503 to 2925 of the family's 2925-position model. The record is from RNAcentral.
UGACCUGGGGUAAGGAUGUAGGGCGAGAUGUAGGCAAAUCCGCAUCUCACGUGCCUGAGAUCUAACGCCGAGCCGAUUCAGGUGAAGUGGGUAAUCCUAUGCUGCCAAGAAAAGCCUCUAGCGAGUGUUAAAGCCGCCCGUACCCCAAACCGACACAGGUGGUCAGGUAGAGAAUACUAAGGCGAUCGAGAUAACUAUGGUUAAGGAACUCGGCAAAAUGCCCCCGUAACUUCGGGAGAAGGGGGGCCCGUUCUGGUGAGGAGAUUUACUCUCCGAGCUGGGAUUGGCCGCAGAGACCAGGCCCAAGCGACUGUUUACUAAAAACACAGGUCCAUGCUAAGUCGCAAGACGCUGUAUAUGGACUGACGCCUGCCCGGUGCUGGAACGUUAAGGGGACGGGUUAGCGACUUCGGUCGCGAAGCUCAGAACUUAAGCGCCAGUAAACGGCGGUGGUAACUAUAACCAUCCUAAGGUAGCGAAAUUCCUUGUCGGGUAAGUUCCGACCUGCACGAAUGGCGUAACGACUUGGGCGCUGUCUCAACCGUAGACUCGGCGAAAUUGCACUACGAGUAAAGAUGCUCGUUACGCGCGGCAGGACGGAAAGACCCCGGGACCUUUACUACAGCUUGGUAUUGGUGGUCGAUUCGAUUUGUGUAGGAUAGGUGGGAGACUGUGAACUACGGACGCCAGUUCGAAGGGAGUCAUCGUUGAAAUACCACUCUGAUCGUAUUGGCUGUCUAACCUAGAUCCGUAAUCCGGAUCAGGGACAGUGCCUGGUGGGUAGUUUAACUGGGGCGGUUGCCUCCUAAAAUGUAACGGAGGCGCUCAAAGGUUCCCUCAGCCUGGUUGGCAAUCAGGUAUCGAGUGUAAGUGCACAAGGGAGCUUGACUGUGAGACUGACGGGUCGAGCAGGGACGAAAGUCGGAACUAGUGAUCCGGCGCUGGCAAGUGGGAGCGGCGUCGCUCAACGGAUAAAAGGUACCCCGGGGAUAACAGGCUGAUCUUGCCCAAGAGUCCAUAUCGACGGCAUGGUUUGGCACCUCGAUGUCGGCUCGUCGCAUCCUGGGGCUGGAGUAGGUCCCAAGGGUUGGGCUGUUCGCCCAUUAAAGCGGCACGCGAGCUGGGUUUAGAACGUCGUGAGACAGUUCGGUCCCUAUCCGCCGCGCGCGUAAGAGUCUUGAGAAGAUCUGUCCCUAGUACGAGAGGACCGGGAUGGACGAACCUCUGGUGUGUCAGUUGUCCUGCCAAGGGCACUGCUGAUUAGCUACGUUCGGAAGAGAUAACCGCUGAAAGCAUCUAAGCGGGAAACUCGCUUCAAGAUGAGGGCUCUCACAGGGUUAACCUGGUAAGGCCCCCAGUAGACCACUGGGUUGAUAGGCCGGAAGUGGAAGUGCGGUAACGCAUGCAGCUGACCGGUACUAAUAGGCCGAGGACUUGACCU